UCCAAGAAAAAGAGAUUUAAAAAUCUUGAUGAAUAGCCGCCAAUGUGGCUCUCCUCUCUGUCACUUAUCUCGUCGUUUCCUCCCGAUCUAGCUGAGUUUCUAUCAUCGGAGUAGCAGCCGCUGCUCUCCGCUUGGACUGUGGUUCUCUGCUUCAACAACCGUCUCCGUAUUCUUGUCUUGGCCUUCGACUGAUUUUAGGGUCUAUAUUUUUGUGUUCCAUUUCGUGAACAACUACUCAAAUAUUAUGAGAAGGUUAAAAAUCCAGAUGUAGAAGAAAAUCUCCUUACAUGUUUGGCAGAACUCUUUACACAGUACACAAAAGAAGAAAACAUGUGUUAUUGCUCCAAAACGCUUUGUACAAAGAGUGAAGAAAGAAAAUGAACUUUUUCGUGGCUUUUUCCAUAGCCCUUGGUUACAUGGGUUCACAAAAACUUUCAGGGUAUACUCACAAACGAAACAAAGUGUUUAAGAUGUGAGAUUGUAACUGCAAGAGAUGAGACACUCUUAGAUCUGAGCCUUGAUAAUGAGCAAAACAGAUCCAUUACAAGUUGCCUAAAGAACUUCAGUUCCACC
Lactuca sativa (garden lettuce) is the source of this 573-nucleotide long non-coding RNA. RefSeq lists it as uncharacterized. Lineage: Eukaryota; Viridiplantae; Streptophyta; Magnoliopsida; Asterales; Asteraceae. The record is from RefSeq and is a predicted model, not a curated record.